This 522-nucleotide ribosomal RNA is filed under the name Enicopus ater. Its description in RNAcentral is "partial 16S ribosomal RNA". The stretch from base 386 to 522 matches the Rfam family "Bacterial large subunit ribosomal RNA", at positions 2473 to 2610 of the family's 2925-position model. Lineage: Eukaryota; Metazoa; Arthropoda; Insecta; Coleoptera; Melyridae. The record is from RNAcentral.
CAUGUCUUUUUGAAUAUAAUUUAAAGUCUAAUCUGCCCCCUGAGUAUUUAAAUGGCCGCAGUAUUUUGACUGUGCUAAGGUAGCAUAAUCAAUAGUUUCUUAAUUAGAAGCUGGAAUGAAUGAUUGGAUGAGAUAAAAUCUGUCUCAAUUUUAAAUAUUAAAAUUUUAUUUUUAAGUAAAAAAGCUUAAAUAAUUUUAAAAGACGAGAAGACCCUAUAGAGUUUAAUAUUAAAAUAUUAAUUUUAUAAUUAUAUCAAUAUUUAAUUAAUAUUUUAGUAUUUUGUUGGGGUGAUAGAAAAAUUUAAUAAACUUUUUUUUUAUUUGACCAUAAAUUUAUGAAUAUAUGAUCCAUUAUAUAAUGAUUAAAAGAUUAAAUUACCUUAGGGAUAACAGCGUAAUUUUUUUUAAGAGUUCUAAUCGAAAAAAAAGAUUGCGACCUCGAUGUUGGAUUAAAGUUUAAUUUUGGUGUAGAAGCUAAAAAUUUAAGUCUGUUCGACUUUUAAAACUUUACAUGAUCUGAGU